Molecule: non-coding RNA, 54 nt
Organism: Salmo salar (Atlantic salmon)
Lineage: Eukaryota; Metazoa; Chordata; Actinopteri; Salmoniformes; Salmonidae
Source: Rfam
CCUAAACGCUCCUGUAAGUCGCUCUGGAUAAGAGCGUCUGCUAAAUGACAAAUG